AGAUUGAACGCUAGCGGGAUGCUUUACACAUGCAAGUCGAACGGCAGCGCGGACUUCGGUCUGGCGGCGAGUGGCGAACGGGUGAGUAAUAUAUCGGAACGUGCCCAGUAGCGGGGGAUAACUACGCGAAAGCGUGGCUAAUACCGCAUACGCCCUACGGGGGAAAGGGGGGGAUUCUUCGGAACCUCUCACUAUUGGAGCGGCCGAUAUCAGAUUAGCUAGUUGGUGAGGUAAAGGCUCACCAAGGCGACGAUCUGUAGCUGGUUUGAGAGGACGACCAGCCACACUGGGACUGAGACACGGCCCAGACUCCUACGGGAGCAGCAGUGGGAAUUUGGACAAGUGGGGGCAACCGUGAUCCAGCCAUUCCGCGUGAG
This 377-nucleotide ribosomal RNA is filed under the name uncultured soil bacterium. RNAcentral's name for it is "bacterial SSU rRNA". It matches the Rfam family "Bacterial small subunit ribosomal RNA", at positions 26 to 405 of the family's 1533-position model. The record is from RNAcentral.